GCUGCAGCCAAGCCACCAGCCUAGCUGUAGAGUGCUGUACUCCACAUACUCCUGGAGAUCCAGCCCCGCAGAUCGCGCAUCCCUGCCGCCGUUCGCCUUUAGGCAUCCUAAACUUGAGCGGCAGCUCGGUUUCAACCGAUCGACUGCUUGCUUCAAAUCAGACAGCAUUGCGACCCAGACACCGGAGUCCGCCGAGUGAAAGCACAACGCAGAGUAGGACAAGACCAAGAAAACAGCCACGCGAAGCAGCAACUCUAGGUUGGGAGUGCAGAAGCCAACAAACCUUCUUCGGUUGCGCUGGGCUUCCUUUUAUCCGGGUAGGAGCCACAUCCCUGGGGAAUAUGCAGCGCGCGUGGAUCCUGCUCACCUUGGGCUUGAUGGCCUGUGUGUCCUCAGAGACGCAUUAUUUCAGUGCCCAUUCUGCACAGAAUUUUAGCUAUUUGUUGAGGGAACACCAGUUGCUACUAGCAAAGAAGGAGAAUGUUCACAGAAGAGGAAUGAGUGGAAAGAAGGUUUGAUACCACUGGGUAAAAUGAUUGUGAGAAAAGAAAUUUCAUAUAUGGGGAACAACACACACAACCUGGAAGCAUGACAGAAACUUGCCUUAUUUGGAAAAUUUAUAGGGAAUUUGCACUGUGGUACCAAGGAAUGGUGAAAGAUGCAGGAAAUGAAAAGCAAGAAGUGGGCAAUUUAUAAGUCUUAAAGUUCUAAGGAGACCAUGCUGUUGUCUGCCACACCCACUCCAGUGAAUUCUGUGUGUGAAGCUUGGCCACAGUCCUGAGGCAAAAAGUUUCACAGAAACUUGUCUGCUGGAGAGUCUCUGGUGCCCCAUAACCAGAUUUGUCCCUAAGAUAGGGUGGAGGGUCUUUCAUGCUUUCUUAGAGUAUUUUACUAGAUAAGAGCUAAAAAAUCUCAGGGCAAGUUCUACAAAGAAAACUUAGAAUUACAGCCGAGGCACUCCCAUAUGCAGGAAUUUACAAUGGCCUAAGAAGAAGGAGGGUUGUGGCUUAAGGAGGAACUACAGUAUUACAUUAUUCAUGAGCAAGAGCAGAACCCCCUGGUGCAAGCUUUCAAAAGGCUCAGAGGAAUAGCAUAAAUUGUGACUAGAGUGUGAAAUCCUCACCUGGCUCCCUAAUGGCUAACUUUAGAAAGGGCUGCCUUUUAUCUCAGUUGUAACCACUGCCUGGUUCCUGCUAGUAUUUAUGUAUGCAUUUCUCUGUUUUUUGCAAGAUAAUAUCAAUGUACCUUGGCUGAUGUGUCACCUAACUUCUUUGUUUUCUUCUGUAAUAUAAGUCUGAUGCUCACUUUGAGAAAUUACAUUCAGAUAGUGUACU
This 1334-nucleotide long non-coding RNA is filed under the name Mus musculus (house mouse). RNAcentral's name for it is "predicted gene, 32618". Lineage: Eukaryota; Metazoa; Chordata; Mammalia; Rodentia; Muridae. The record is from RNAcentral.